RNAcentral lists this long non-coding RNA (418 nucleotides) under Rattus norvegicus (Norway rat). RNAcentral describes it as "long non-coding RNA NONRATT017578". Lineage: Eukaryota; Metazoa; Chordata; Mammalia; Rodentia; Muridae. The record is from RNAcentral.
CUGACGAUGACAAGAAUGCCACCUUGUGACUGGGGAGAGGCACUCAAGACAUGGGGCUGUAAGGAUCUGAAGUUCACCAAUACUUGGCUACUAGAGAAACAGUGUUACCUGCUGUUGGGGAGCCUGGUACUGGGAGGGCUCCUCCUCCUGCUUGUCAUCAUCCUGUUCGCCUGCCUGUGCCGGUUCUAUCAGCCCAGGUCUCGGGGCAGGAGCUCCACUACGCCUCUCUCCAGAAGCUGCCCGCAUCCAGCAGUGAUAUGGAAGGCAGAGGAGAAGGUGAAGGCGUAAAAGAAGACGCCAGCACUGACUAUGCCUGCAUCGUCUUAAACAAACCCAAUUGAGCGCCCCCAAAAGCCUCCCUCGCCCUGGGUGGGUACUCAGAGUCGCCCCGAGUUCACCUAGUAAAGUCUGGUUCCCC